CUUAUACAGAGUGGUUGAGGGACGGGCCCGAUGAAACCCGGCAACCGGUCGCGUGGCGACAGUGGUGCCAAUUCCCGCAGCGCAGCCCUGCGCUGAAAUAUGAGG
Molecule: non-coding RNA, 105 nt
Filed under: human gut metagenome
Also listed under: 1 other name
Description: SAM riboswitch (S box leader)
Rfam family: SAM riboswitch aptamer (S box leader)
About the family: The SAM riboswitch is found upstream of a number of genes which code for proteins involved in methionine or cysteine biosynthesis in Gram-positive bacteria. The SAM riboswitch acts at the level of transcription termination control. The predicted structure consists of a complex stem-loop region followed by a single stem loop terminator region.
Source: RNAcentral